Long non-coding RNA from Oncorhynchus masou masou (cherry salmon), 1852 nucleotides. RefSeq lists it as uncharacterized. The transcript is spliced from 2 exons. NCBI's taxonomy places the organism in Eukaryota, Metazoa, Chordata, Actinopteri, Salmoniformes, Salmonidae. The record is from RefSeq and is a predicted model, not a curated record.
AUAUAGCCCACCAAUAUCUCCACCACCGCAUCGGAAAGGCUCUGGAGCAACGAACUGCUUUGCUGUCUCUGCCCGGCUCCCCUCUCUCCACUGGGAUUCUCUGCCUCUGACGGGAGGCUGAGCCACUGGCUUCCUGGUGCUCUUCCAUGCCGUCCCUAGGAGGGGUGCGUCACUUGAGUGGGUUGAGUCACAGACGUGAUCUUCCUGUUCGGCUUUGCUCCCCCUUGGGCUUGUGCGGUGGAGGAGAUAUUGGUGGGCUAUAUACUCCGCCUUGUAUCAGCAUAGUAAGUUGGUGGUCUGUUUAUCUCUCUAGUGGUGUGGGUGUGGUGCUUUAGCAAAGUGAUUGGGGUUAUAUCCUGCCUGGUUGGCCCUGUCCGGGGGUAUCGUCAGAUGGGGCCACAGUGUCCCCCGAACCACCCCUGUCUCAGUCUGCAGUAUCUAUUCUGCAAUAGUAUAUGUGCCGGGGGUUAGGGUCAGUCUGUUAUAUCUGGUGUAAUUCUCCUGUCUUAUCUGGUGUCCUGUGUCCUGAAUUUAAAUAUGCUCCCUCUAAUUCUCUCUCUCUCUCUCCCUCUCUCCCUCCACUCUCGGAGGACCUGAGCCCUAGGGUCAUGCCUCAGGACUACCUGGCCUGAUAACUCCUGGCUGUCCCCAGUCCACCUGGUCAUGCUGCUGCUCCAGUUUCAACUGUUCUGCCUGCGGCUAUGGAACUGAGCCUAAAAACCUACAGCUGGCCGAGAUAGCCUGGAGAAGUAGAUCGUAAUCCUUCAUUGUCUCAAAAUCAUCCUGGCAUCUGGGAAACUAAGCCGAGGUGGUGUUAAAACCACACCAGAGGUAGAUAACCAGGAGAUGAACCCGAAGUUGCAUGGGAGGGGUGGAACCAGCCACGAAUAAGCAUUUUUAGUGUCAGUUAUAUAAGGAAUCUGUUAUGGUUAACCUUCGGCAACACAAAUUAGAUUGUGCGGUUGACAGCUUCAUAGUUGCAAUAAUUAAAUCGAUAUUAAACAAAGAUGAUUGUUUGAAGAAAUUACAAUGUCUCUCUCACUUGAUUAGAAUAUUCCACCACAGAACCCUGACCUGACGUGCUACCUUGUCCCGGACAUGCUGUUUUUGACUCUCUCUCUCAACGGUCUCGACCUCUGAAUGAUUGGCUAUGAAAAGCCAACUGACAUUUACUCCUGAGGUACUGACCUGUUGGACCCUCUACAACCACUGUGAUUAUUAUUUGACCCUGCUUGUCAUCUAUGAACAUUUGAACAUCUUGAAGAAAAAUCUGGCCUUAAAUGUUCAUGUACUCUUAUAAUCUCCACCCGGCACAGCCAGAAGAGUACUGGCCACCCCUCAGAGCCUGAUUCAUCUCUAGGAUUCUUCCUAGCUUCCUGCCUUUCUAGGGAGUUUUUCCUAGCCACCGUGCAUCCACAUCUGCAUUGCUUGCUGUUUGGAGUUUUAGGCUGAGUUUCUGUUUAGCACUUUUGUGACAUCUGCUGAUGUAAAAAGACAUGUAUAAAUACAUUUCAUUGAUUGGUUGAUUAAGAUAUUGCUGAGGAAUUGCACUUACAAACUAUCUUAUGAACUUCUUUUUUUUUUCUUGAGAAGCUUCUUCAUUUUUUUUUGCUUAAAGAAGUGUUUUGUGAAUCUGGGCCAAGGUCUUGUCUUGGUGUCAGAUACAUUUCUACUCGGUGUCGACUAGGUCUCGGACCAGCGGAGUAAAAAACAAAACUCUAUAUUAUCAGCUUCCAUUAAACAGACAGUUAACCCACUGUUCCUAGGCCGUCAUUGAAAAUAAGAAUUUGUUCUUUAACCGACUUGCCUGGUUAAAUAAAGGUUCAAUGAAAUAAAUAAAUUAAAAAAGUCA